Oncorhynchus keta (chum salmon) is the source of this 297-nucleotide long non-coding RNA. RefSeq lists it as uncharacterized. The record is from RefSeq and is a predicted model, not a curated record. Lineage: Eukaryota; Metazoa; Chordata; Actinopteri; Salmoniformes; Salmonidae. The transcript has 3 exons.
CCGUAUCUACUGGACAGAUAUCACACUGAAGGUAAGGAGGGAGGUGUCUCUCUCUAACCGUAUCUACUGGACAGAUAUCACACUGAAGGUAAGGAGGGAGGUGUCUCUCUCUAACCGUAUCUACUGGACAGAUAUCACACUGAAGGUAAGGAGGGAGGUGUCUCUCUCUAACCGUAUCUACUGGACAGAUAUCACACUGAAGGUAAGGAGGGAGGUGUCUCUCUCUAACCGUAUCUACUGGACAGAUAUCACACUGAAGGUAAGGAGGGAGGUGUCUCUCUCUGGCUCCCCUCCAUC